UGAAAGUGAGUGAAAGAGAGAGGAAGUGAAAGAGAGAGAGAGAGAAAGUGAGUGAGUGAGAGAGAGAGGACUGAGGGGAUAAUAUUAGU
This 89-nucleotide small RNA is filed under the name Oryza sativa Japonica Group (Japanese rice). Its description in RNAcentral is "sRNA Os06g0330250". The record is from RNAcentral. Lineage: Eukaryota; Viridiplantae; Streptophyta; Magnoliopsida; Poales; Poaceae.